RNAcentral lists this ribosomal RNA (1081 nucleotides) under Salmonella enterica. RNAcentral's name for it is "bacterial SSU rRNA". It matches the Rfam family "Bacterial small subunit ribosomal RNA", at positions 1 to 1073 of the family's 1533-position model. The record is from RNAcentral. RNAcentral also lists the same sequence under 1 other name. Lineage: Bacteria; Pseudomonadati; Pseudomonadota; Gammaproteobacteria; Enterobacterales; Enterobacteriaceae.
AAAUUGAAGAGUUUGAUCAUGGCUCAGAUUGAACGCUGGCGGCAGGCCUAACACAUGCAAGUCGAACGGUAGCACAGAGAGCUUGCUCUCGGGUGACGAGUGGCGGACGGGUGAGUAAUGUCUGGGAAACUGCCCGAUGGAGGGGGAUAACUACUGGAAACGGUAGCUAAUACCGCAUAACGUCGCAAGACCAAAGUGGGGGACCUUCGGGCCUCACACCAUCGGAUGUGCCCAGAUGGGAUUAGCUAGUAGGUGGGGUAACGGCUCACCUAGGCGACGAUCCCUAGCUGGUCUGAGAGGAUGACCAGCCACACUGGAACUGAGACACGGUCCAGACUCCUACGGGAGGCAGCAGUGGGGAAUAUUGCACAAUGGGCGCAAGCCUGAUGCAGCCAUGCCGCGUGUAUGAAGAAGGCCUUCGGGUUGUAAAGUACUUUCAGCGAGGAGGAAGGCGUUGUGGUUAAUAACCACAGCGAUUGACGUUACUCGCAGAAGAAGCACCGGCUAACUCCGUGCCAGCAGCCGCGGUAAUACGGAGGGUGCAAGCGUUAAUCGGAAUUACUGGGCGUAAAGCGCACGCAGGCGGUUUGUUAAGUCAGAUGUGAAAUCCCCGGGCUCAACCUGGGAACUGCAUUUGAAACUGGCAAGCUUGAGUCUCGUAGAGGGGGGUAGAAUUCCAGGUGUAGCGGUGAAAUGCGUAGAGAUCUGGAGGAAUACCGGUGGCGAAGGCGGCCCCCUGGACAAAGACUGACGCUCAGGUGCGAAAGCGUGGGGAGCAAACAGGAUUAGAUACCCUGGUAGUCCACGCCGUAAACGAUGUCUACUUGGAGGUUGUGCCCUUGAGGCGUGGCUUCCGGAGCUAACGCGUUAAGUAGACCGCCUGGGGAGUACGGCCGCAAGGUUAAAACUCAAAUGAAUUGACGGGGGCCCGCACAAGCGGUGGAGCAUGUGGUUUAAUUCGAUGCAACGCGAAGAACCUUACCUGGUCUUGACAUCCACGGAAGUUUUCAGAGAUGAGAAUGUGCCUUCGGGAACCGUGAGACAGGUGCUGCAUGGCUGUCGUCAGCUCGUGUUGUGAAAU